UUUUAUGGAGAGUUUGAUCCUGGCUCAGGAUAAACGCUGGCGGCGUGCCUAAUACAUGCAAGUCGAGCGAACGGACGAGAAGCUUGCUUCUCUGAUGUUAGCGGCGGACGGGUGAGUAACACGUGGAUAACCUACCUAUAAGACUGGGAUAACUUCGGGAAACCGGAGCUAAUACCGGAUAAUAUUUUGAACCGCAUGGUUCAAAAGUGAAAGACGGUCUUGCUGUCACUUAUAGAUGGAUCCGCGCUGCAUUAGCUAGUUGGUAAGGUAACGGCUUACCAAGGCAACGAUGCAUAGCCGACCUGAGAGGGUGAUCGGCCACACUGGAACUGAGACACGGUCCAGACUCCUACGGGAGGCAGCAGUAGGGAAUCUUCCGCAAUGGGCGAAAGCCUGACGGAGCAACGCCGCGUGAGUGAUGAAGGUCUUCGGAUCGUAAAACUCUGUUAUUAGGGAAGAACAUAUGUGUAAGUAACUGUGCACAUCUUGACGGUACCUAAUCAGAAAGCCACGGCUAACUACGUGCCAGCAGCCGCGGUAAUACGUAGGUGGCAAGCGUUAUCCGGAAUUAUUGGGCGUAAAGCGCGCGUAGGCGGUUUUUUAAGUCUGAUGUGAAAGCCCACGGCUCAACCGUGGAGGGUCAUUGGAAACUGGAAAACUUGAGUGCAGAAGAGGAAAGUGGAAUUCCAUGUGUAGCGGUGAAAUGCGCAGAGAUAUGGAGGAACACCAGUGGCGAAGGCGACUUUCUGGUCUGUAACUGACGCUGAUGUGCGAAAGCGUGGGGAUCAAACAGGAUUAGAUACCCUGGUAGUCCACGCCGUAAACGAUGAGUGCUAAGUGUUAGGGGGUUUCCGCCCCUUAGUGCUGCAGCUAACGCAUUAAGCACUCCGCCUGGGGAGUACGACCGCAAGGUUGAAACUCAAAGGAAUUGACGGGGACCCGCACAAGCGGUGGAGCAUGUGGUUUAAUUCGAAGCAACGCGAAGAACCUUACCAAAUCUUGACAUCCUUUGACAACUCUAGAGAUAGAGCCUUCCCCUUCGGGGGACAAAGUGACAGGUGGUGCAUGGUUGUCGUCAGCUCGUGUCGUGAGAUGUUGGGUUAAGUCCCGCAACGAGCGCAACCCUUAAGCUUAGUUGCCAUCAUUAAGUUGGGCACUCUAAGUUGACUGCCGGUGACAAACCGGAGGAAGGUGGGGAUGACGUCAAAUCAUCAUGCCCCUUAUGAUUUGGGCUACACACGUGCUACAAUGGACAAUACAAAGGGCAGCGAAACCGCGAGGUCAAGCAAAUCCCAUAAAGUUGUUCUCAGUUCGGAUUGUAGUCUGCAACUCGACUACAUGAAGCUGGAAUCGCUAGUAAUCGUAGAUCAGCAUGCUACGGUGAAUACGUUCCCGGGUCUUGUACACACCGCCCGUCACACCACGAGAGUUUGUAACACCCGAAGCCGGUGGAGUAACCUUUUAGGAGCUAGCCGUCGAAGGUGGGACAAAUGAUUGGGGUGAAGUCGUAACAAGGUAGCCGUAUCGGAAGGUGCGGCUGGAUCACCUCCUUUCUAA
RNAcentral lists this ribosomal RNA (1557 nucleotides) under Staphylococcus aureus. RNAcentral's name for it is "16S ribosomal RNA". It matches the Rfam family "Bacterial small subunit ribosomal RNA". The record is from RNAcentral. Lineage: Bacteria; Bacillati; Bacillota; Bacilli; Caryophanales; Staphylococcaceae.